CUACUGCCGGCGACCGGCGCACGGGUGAGUAACACGUAUGGAACCUGCCCGCAGCAGGGGGAUAAGCGGAAGAAAUUCCGUCUAAUACCGCGUAACAACGUUGGGAGGCAUCUCCCGAUGUUUAAAGAUUUAUCGGCUGCGGAUGGCCAUGCGGCGCAUUAGCUAGUCGGCGGGGUAACGGCCCACCGAGGCGACGAUGCGUAGGGGUUCUGAGGGGAAGGUCCCCCACACUGGUACUGAGACACGGACCAGACUCCUACGGAAGGCAGCAG
Molecule: ribosomal RNA, 272 nt
Filed under: uncultured bacterium
Lineage: Bacteria
Description: partial 16S ribosomal RNA
Rfam family: Bacterial small subunit ribosomal RNA
Source: RNAcentral